Molecule: ribosomal RNA, 492 nt
Filed under: uncultured bacterium
Lineage: Bacteria
Description: partial 16S ribosomal RNA
Rfam family: Bacterial small subunit ribosomal RNA
Source: RNAcentral
AGUGAACGCUGGCGGUAGGCCUAACACAUGCAAGUCGAACGGCAGCACAGUAAGAGCUUGCUCUUACGGGUGGCGAGUGGCGGACGGGUGAGGAAUACAUCGGAAUCUACUUUUUCGUGGGGGAUAACGUAGGGAAACUUACGCUAAUACCGCAUACGACCUACGGGUGAAAGCAGGGGAUCUUCGGACCUUGCGCGAUUGAAUGAGCCGAUGUCGGAUUAGCUAGUUGGUGGGGUAAAGGCCCACCAAGGCGACGAUCCGUAGCUGGUCUGAGAGGAUGAUCAAGCACACUGGAACUGAGGCACGGUCCAGACUCCUACGGGAGGCAGCAGUGGGGAAUAUUGGACAAGGGGCGAAAACCUGAUACAGCCAAGCCGGGUGUGGGAAAAAGGUCUUUGGAUUGUAAAGCACCUUAAGUUGGGAAGAAGAGAAGGAAGUUAAUACCCUCCGUUUUUGACGGUACCAACAGAAUAAGCACCGGCUAACUUCGUG